RNAcentral lists this ribosomal RNA (1602 nucleotides) under Triticum aestivum (bread wheat). Its description in RNAcentral is "partial small subunit ribosomal RNA". The record is from RNAcentral. Lineage: Eukaryota; Viridiplantae; Streptophyta; Magnoliopsida; Poales; Poaceae.
AUGACGGCUGCCGCGACGGCGACGACGGCGGCGGCGGGGAAGCUCCCAUUCCCGCUGCUCACGAGGACGAACUACGCGGCGUGGGCGAUGAGGAUGAAGUACCUCUUGCGCGCCAACGGCGCGUGGGGUGCCGUUGAUCGCGAGGCCUCAUCGGAGGUCGACAAGGGCAAGGAGGAGAUGGCCAUGACGAUCAUCUCCCAGUCCAUCGACGACUCGACGCUGCUGCGAGUUGCGGAGAAGGAGACCGCAGCCGAUGUGUGGGCGGCGCUACGCUCCAUGCAUGUGGGCGUCGAGCGCGUCCGAGAGGCGAGGGUUCAAUCCUUGCGCUCGGAAUUUGAUGGCCUCAUGAUGGGUGAUGCGGAGUCCGUGGAUGAUUUCGCGGCGAGGUUCACGACGCUCGUGGGGCGCAUCCGUGAGCUUGGUGAUGCGAUGGAGGAGAAAUAUGUCGUGAAGAAGCUUCUCCGAGCCGUCUCCAACAAGUUCAUCCACGUUGCGUCAUCGAUUGCAUUGUUCGGCGACACCAAUAAGAUGGCCAUGGAGGAGGCCAUUGGUUCACUCAAGGCGCACGAGGAGCUCGUCAAGGGGCGGGAGACGACACAUAAAGAAGAGCAGCUCCUCAUGGCGAGAGGGCAUGACUCAUCGCGAGGACGCGGCCGCGGUGGCCGUGGCCGUGGCCGCGGACAUGGCCGUGGUGGAGGGCGCAGAGACAAGAGCGAGGUGAUGACGAAGACGAUGCCGCGUGACUCUUCAGCGAGUGGAGCGUUGGUGCCGAGCGAUUCGGCGGCGAUGGCGGCUGCCGUGACGGCGACGACGGCGGCGGCGGGGAAGCUCCCAUUCCCGCUGCUCACGAGGACGAACUACGCGGCGUGGGCGAUGAGGAUGAAGUACCUGUUGCGCGCCAACGGCGCGUGGGGUGCCGUUGAUCGCGAGGCCUCAUCGGAGGUCGACAAGGGCAAGGAGGAGAUGGCCAUGACGAUCAUCUCCCAGUCCAUCGACGACUCGACGCUGCUGCGAGUUGCGGAGAAGGAGACCGCAGCCGAUGUGUGGGCGGCGCUACGCUCCAUGCAUGUGGGCGUCGAGCGCGUCCGAGAGGCGAGGGUUCAAUCCUUGCGCUCGGAAUUUGAUGGCCUCAAGAUGGGUGAUGCGGAGUCCGUGGAUGAUUUCGCGGCGAGGUUCACGACGCUCGUGGGGCGCAUCCGUGAGCUUGGUGAUGCGAUGGAGGAGAAAUAUGUCGUGAAGAAGCUUCUCCGAGCCGUCUCCAACAAGUUCAUCCACGUUGCGUCAUCGAUUGCAUUGUUCGGCGACACCAACAAGAUGGCCAUGGAGGAGGCCAUUGGUUCACUCAAGGCGCAUGAGGAGCUCGUCAAGGGGCGGGAGACGACACAUAAAGAAGAGCAGCUCCUCAUGGCGAGAGGGCAUGACUCAUCGCGAGGACGCGGCCGCGGUGGCCGUGGUGGAGGGCGCAGAGACAAGAGCGAGGUACAAUGUUAUAACUGUGAUGACUUUGGACAUUUUGCUUGGGAGUGUCCGGAGAAGAAGAAGGAGAACGAGGAGAAGGCACUGCUGGCCGGCUACGGCAGCGACGGACCGGCUCUCCUAUGA